GGUUUUGUAAAUAGUUGGGUUUAAUCUCUUUUAACCCUCUGUAAACCUAAUUGAUAGGUCAUUGAACGCGUGGGAAGCGACGGUUCGUCGAUUCGUCGAGCGGGGCGACGUUCCGACUGAAACAAGUGUUCGUGGGUUUGUAUUGACCCGAGGAGCCGAGGCGGCUUCAAUAAAUCGUGGGAUCGCAUCCCGAGCAUCAUAACGAAGAACCGAAGACCUUUAAUUUACAGAUCGCAAAUCGGUGGUCAUUUGACGGUCGCAUGUGAGUGGGGUCGAGCCGUGCGGCGUGCGCCGCGGGAGGCCGAUUGCUAGUGACGACGAGCAAUCGGAACGCGAUAAAAGGUGGGUGGUGUCCAUCCCGAAGCAAUCGGGCUCCCUUCUAUGUCUUAGUACAUUUCGAUUCUGCAUCUUGUAUUAUUGCAUUAUAGGAUGAUUGUGCAUUGCCUUUCCUUAUGCUUUCCUUGAUGAUAUCGUAGCAUGUAUUGGAUACUUGACAUAGUGGAUCGAUAAGG
This 512-nucleotide long non-coding RNA is filed under the name Ananas comosus (pineapple). Its description in RNAcentral is "long non-coding RNA (ACOM_LNC028313)". Lineage: Eukaryota; Viridiplantae; Streptophyta; Magnoliopsida; Poales; Bromeliaceae. The record is from RNAcentral.